UCUUUCAUUUGUGGUUUUUCUGCACACCUUUUUUUCACAAUGAGUCAAGGAUACCAGGGAGAAUACUGACACACUUGAAACAUUUGCCAGGCAAAUCAACUGAGAUGGCUUCGACUACAAAUCCUGGACUUGUAAACAAAGAGAGUUGAAGCUCACCUGAAUAUCCGACGAUCUAUGCAUUUGACGGGAGAGUUGUUGCCAGAAUCAGCGUUGGUACACAGACUGACUGGAGACAUGAGGAAGAGUGCAGUCAAGACCAUAAAUACCCAAUUGUAGAAACAUUAAAAGC
Molecule: long non-coding RNA, 289 nt
Organism: Etheostoma cragini (Arkansas darter)
Lineage: Eukaryota; Metazoa; Chordata; Actinopteri; Perciformes; Percidae
Exons: 3
Source: RefSeq, a predicted model, not a curated record